Non-coding RNA from Peromyscus maniculatus bairdii (prairie deer mouse), 534 nucleotides. The record is from RefSeq and is a predicted model, not a curated record. NCBI's taxonomy places the organism in Eukaryota, Metazoa, Chordata, Mammalia, Rodentia, Cricetidae.
GAUUCAGUUACUCUGCUCAGAUAUUCCUGGUAUUUUCUUAAACUGAUAACCUUGUGUCUUUCAUCUACUGACAUGCCCAGCUGAUAUUGCAAAUGCUCCUACUGCUUCUGUUCUUACAGCCUCCACUUCCAAUUCAACUUCCACUGGACCACUUCAUUCGGUUUCAUUCAUUCUAAAGCUCAGGGUCUUAUUUGGAAGAUCAGGCAGAAACUUUGUAAUAACCAGUGCUGAUGGAUCACUUCGAGGAAACAGUGUCCACAAAUGAACUCAUAGAAGUUGUGGCAGCAUCUACAAGACCUGUACAUAUUCAAGCCAGAUGGAGUGUCAGCACUGAGAGUGGAAGUGAAUGUAGAGUCCCACCCCUAACCAAGAAACUUUCUGGAGUUGAUACCUACUGGCAAAGGGAAAAUCAGUUUUCUCCAGUGGAAUGCCUAUGGAUGUAUCAACCUCACACCAAGAGAAAAAAAGACAUUUUGGGAUGGAGAGGGAAGAGGAGAAGAUCUGGGAAGAUUGGAGGAGGGGAACACAUCAAAA